GGCAGUUCUCGGGUGACGCACCCCCAGAAUCAGGCUUCCUCCUCUCUGGUUCCGGUGUCUCACGCUAGAACCACA
Molecule: non-coding RNA, 75 nt
Organism: Myotis brandtii (Brandt's bat)
Lineage: Eukaryota; Metazoa; Chordata; Mammalia; Chiroptera; Vespertilionidae
Source: Rfam